RNAcentral lists this ribosomal RNA (500 nucleotides) under uncultured bacterium. RNAcentral describes it as "bacterial SSU rRNA". It matches the Rfam family "Bacterial small subunit ribosomal RNA", at positions 28 to 533 of the family's 1533-position model. The record is from RNAcentral.
GACGAACGCUGGCGGCGUGCCUAACACAUGCAAGUCGAGCGGGGUUGAAGCGAGAGGUAACUCGAACUUCUACCUAGCGGCGGACGGGUGAGUAACGCGUGGGCAACCUGCCUCAAGGUCUGGGAUAACAGCCCGAAAGGGCUGCUAAUACCGGGUAUGCUUGUGGCCUCGCAUGGGGCUAUGAGCAAAGGGGAAACCCGCCUUGAGAUGGGCCCGCGUCCCAUCAGCUAGUUGGUGAGGUAACAGCUCACCAAGGCGACGACGGGUAGCCGGCCUGAGAGGGUGACCGGCCACACUGGGACUGAGACACGGCCCAGACUCCUACGGGGGGCAGCAGUGGGGGAUCUUGCACAAUGGGCGAAAGCCUGAUGCAGCGACGCCGCGUGAGCGAAGAAGGCCUUCGGGUUGUAAGCUCUGUCUGGAGGGACGAAGGAAGUGACGGUACCUCCGGAGGAAGCCACGGCUAACUACGUGCCAGCAGCCGCGGUAAUUCGUCUCUA